CCGGAGGCCACUGCUAUCGGGGUUUGACUAAGCCAUGCGAGUCGAGAGGUGCAAGACCUCGGCGAACUGCUCAGUAACACGUGGACAAUCUGCCCUGAAGAAGAGAAUAAUCCCGGGAAACUGGGGGUAAUGCUCUAUAGUCCGGGAGGACUGGAAUGUUCUCCGGAUGAAAGAUCCGUCGCUUCAGGAUGAGUCUGCGGCCGAUUAGGUAGUUGUUGGGGUAAAAGCCCAACAAGCCUGUAAUCGGCACGGGUUGUGGGAGCAAGAGCCCGGAGAUGGAUUCUGAGACACGAAUCCAGGCCCUACGGGGCGCAGCAGGCGCGAAAACUUUACAAUGCGGGCAACCGUGAUAAGGAAACCCCGAGUGCCAGCACAGGCUGGCUGUCCACCAGUGUAAACAACUGGUGAAGAAAGGGCCGGGCAAGACCGGUGCCAGCCGCCGCGGUAAUACCGGCGGCUCGAGUGGUGGCCGCUUUUACUGGGCUUAAAGGGUCCGUAGCUUGAUCCAUGGGUCCCUUGAGAAAUCCAUCAGCUUAACUGCUGGGCGUUCAGGGGAAACUGUGGUUCUAGGGACCGGGAGAGGUAAGAGGUACUGCCGGGGUAGGAGUGAAAUCCUGUAAUCCCGGUGGGACGACCUAUAGCGAAGGCAUCUUACCAGAACGGCUCCGACAGUGAGGGACGAAAGCUGGGGGAGCAAACCGGAUUAGAUACCCGGGUAGUCCCAGCUGUAACGAUGCGCGUUAGGUGUGUCAGUGACCACGUGUCACUGAUGUGCCGAAGGGAAACCGCGAAACGCGCCGCCUGGGGAGUACGGUCGCGAGGCUUAA
RNAcentral lists this ribosomal RNA (827 nucleotides) under uncultured archaeon SAGMA-4. RNAcentral's name for it is "bacterial SSU rRNA". It matches the Rfam family "Archaeal small subunit ribosomal RNA", at positions 17 to 853 of the family's 1478-position model. The record is from RNAcentral.